RNAcentral lists this ribosomal RNA (466 nucleotides) under uncultured bacterium. Its description in RNAcentral is "partial 16S ribosomal RNA". It matches the Rfam family "Bacterial small subunit ribosomal RNA", at positions 28 to 507 of the family's 1533-position model. The record is from RNAcentral.
GAUGAACGCUGGCGGCGUGCUUAACACAUGCAAGUCGAACGGAAAGGCCCAAGCUUGCUUGGGUACUCGAGUGGCGAACGGGUGAGUAACACGUGGGUGAUCUGCCCUGCACUUCGGGAUAAGCCUGGGAAACUGGGUCUAAUACCGGAUAGGACCACAUUUUGGAUGGUGUGGUGGAAAGUUUUUCGGUGUGGGAUGAGCUCGCGGCCUAUCAGCUUGUUGGUGGGGUAAUGGCCUACCAAGGCGUCGACGGGUCGCCGGCCUGGGAGGGUGUACGGCCACAGUGGGGCUGGGAUACGGCCCAGGCUCCUACGGGAAGGAGCAGGGGGGAAUAUUGCACAAUGGGCGCAAGCCUGAUGCAGCGACGCCGCGGGGGGGAUGACGGCCUUCGGGUUGUAAACUCCUUUCGCUAGGGACGAAGCGUUAUGUGACGGUACCUGGAGAAGAAGCACCGGCUAACUACGUG